RNAcentral lists this ribosomal RNA (358 nucleotides) under uncultured fungus. RNAcentral describes it as "eukaryotic LSU rRNA". The stretch from base 1 to 141 matches the Rfam family "5.8S ribosomal RNA". Lineage: Eukaryota; Fungi. The record is from RNAcentral.
GGAUCUCUUGGUUCUGGCAUCGAUGAAGAACGCAGCGAAAUGCGAUAAGUAGUGUGAAUUGCAGAAUUCAGUGAAUCAUCGAAUCUUUGAACGCACAUUGCGCCCCUUGGUAUUCCAUGGGGCAUGCCUGUUCGAGCGUCAUUCGUACCCUCAAGCUCUGCUUGGUGUUGGGUGUUGUCUUGUCCUUUAGCGACUGGACUCGCCUUAAAGUUAUUGGCAGCCGGCACAUUGGCCUUGGAGCGCAGCACAUUUUGCGAUCUAAGCCGCUGUUUUGGCGUCCAUAAGCCUUUUAUAUCACUUUUGACCUCGGAUCAGGUAGGAAUACCCGCUGAACUUAAGCAUAUCAAUAAGCGGAGGA